Molecule: ribosomal RNA, 253 nt
Filed under: uncultured bacterium
Lineage: Bacteria
Description: partial 16S ribosomal RNA
Rfam family: Bacterial small subunit ribosomal RNA
Source: RNAcentral
UACGUAGGGUGCAAGCGUUAAUCGGAAUUACUGGGCGUAAAGCGUGCGCAGGCGGCUUUGUAAGACAGAUGUGAAAUCCCCGGGCUCAACCUGGGAACUGCAUUUGUGACUGCAUCGCUGGAGUGCGGCAGAGGGGGAUGGAAUUCCGCGUGUAGCAGUGAAAUGCGUAGAUAUGCGGAGGAACACCGAUGGCGAAGGCAAUCCCCUGGGCCUGCACUGACGCUCAUGCACGAAAGCGUGGGGAGCAAACAGG